Long non-coding RNA from Labrus bergylta (ballan wrasse), 1876 nucleotides. RefSeq lists it as uncharacterized. The record is from RefSeq and is a predicted model, not a curated record. NCBI's taxonomy places the organism in Eukaryota, Metazoa, Chordata, Actinopteri, Labriformes, Labridae.
CAGAGCAAGCCAGAGGCAGCGAAAGAGCAGCUCUCUCCCACUUCUCCAUCCCAAAGAUGACGGAGGGGAAGAAGACGGGGCGACAUCUCCUGCACGCUGAAGUGAAAAGACGUCUGCUGUGAGGUCAAGAGGACAUGAUGUGCCAUGAAGACUGAACCUGCAAACUUUUCAGAAGACUGAUCCCAGAGGAUCCUCGCAGGAUCCUCGCAGGACUUGAUGUGACGCAGGGAGGCCUGAUCUGACAUUUGGAUUCAAAGUGCAGACAAAAAUCCAGAGGAUCACAUUCGAGCCCACGCACAUACACACACGCUCGCUCAUCAUACUUUCUUCAGUAAGAAAUCUCCUCCAUCACUUUUGUCCCUCUGUUACAUGUUCUGUCACUGAACCACCAGGUAGACUAAGGAACAUCAACUACUCAUUUUCAUCAUUUUGCAGGUGAGGUGAAUUAAUAAAUCUGUGAUAUGUGAAGAAAAAAGUAGAAGAAAUCCAUCCUAUUCCUCCAUAAAAGUACAAAAGCAUCUAAAGGCUUGCUCCAACAGUAUUUUGUUGUGCAUUUCCUCUACAGUAACAAUAAAGAUCAUUUAUCAAAUUAUCAAAUAGAUGUAGGCUCAUGUAGUUGUGUUAUCAUAUAUUAUAUCAUGGUCUUCACCCCUAAAAUCUUAAUUUGCAUCCUUAUAUAAACUGGAUAUUUCAGUGUCUCAUAAUCACAGCUUUUAGUAUGACAUGUGGAGGAAGUUCUUUGGUCUACUUAAGAAAAAAAGGAUCUUAUCACAGUCUAAAAAAUAUUGUUUUACGUCCUUAAUUGGAAAUAUUCCACCGUUAAAAAGUGUAUAUAAUGAAAAGUGAUUUUAAAGCCUGAAAAGUAAAAGUAUUUUUGCUUAAAAAAAGUAAUUAAUCUCUCCUAUUUUCAAUUUGAAAUGUAAAACCUGCUGUCAUUAACAAGUCUAUAAAUAAGGGAUUGAUGAUAUUCCAUAUCUCUCAGUUUGGCAUCUUGAGAUAGUGGAUUUGAGUUUCUUGUGUGACCUGCGAGCUCCUCCCUGAGGGUGGAGGGGGUCGAGCAGGGUAGUCGGUCACUGAAGUUGGACUUCAGAACAGACAGACACAGCUGAGUGCUUCUCUCUGCUUAAAUACACAAUCUUUUUUACUACUUUAUUGGAACAUAUUGUUUUUAUGAUGAUUACGUUCUUUUUAAAGUAAAAUCUUCAUCUGAAAUCACAAUCUGCUUCUUCACAUAACUAUUAGUUUCAUAUUUCUUUUAUAAUCUUGCAUAACCUACACAAAUAGAAAACCUUUCUCUGGCUUUAAAUGGUUUUUUUUUCAGGUUUAUAUUUUAACUACACCGUUACAGCCAAUAAAUGUUGCUUUCUGUGCCGAUUUCUAACAUCAUUCUUAACACAAAAAUCCUGUUUUAUUCCAAGUAUCUGCAACCUGAGCGUGGCACUGCGACCUUUUUCAGUUCUAAUUAGUGAGAUUAAAUGUAAUCUGUUACCUCACUGUUCUCCUCUCAUAAGGCCUAAGAUCUGUGUCAGCCCACCACCUUCCUCCUCCACCUUACCACCCUCAGUGCACCAUAGUUGCGUUAUUAAACUUGCAUAAGAUCAUUAGCAUACAAAGCAGGAAACCUACCAUGGCGCAUUCAUACAUAUUUAUCUGCCUGACUUGUGCAUGCGUAAACCGGCGCUGUAACCCCGACUACACACAGUCAUGACUGCUUCUCAAUUGCAGGAAAACACGAUUUUUUACUAGAAGUUAAUUUAGACUUAAAGGGUAGAUAUUUAUUGGUGCAACAUCUUAAGAAGGAGCAGCUUGUAUUUGCCCCAAACUACACAUUAAAAAACAUGUGCCACUGCAUGUAAGACACAAAUGUGUGUGUGUG